UCAAGCUACUAAGGGCAUACGGCGGAUGCCUAGGCGCCAUCAGCCGAUGAAGGACGCGGUAAGCUGCGAAAAGCUACGGGGAACUGCAAGCAAGUAUUGAUCCGUAGAUGUCCGAAUGGGGAAACCCACCUGCCGUCAUGGGCAGGUAUCCGAAAGGAAGGGAACCCGGGGAACUGAAACAUCUAAGUACCCGGAGGAAGAGAAAUCAAACGAGAUGCCCACAGUAGCGGCGAGCGAAGAGGGCAGAGGGCAAACCGGUGAGCUACGGCUCGCCGGGGUUGAGGACUGCAUUUAGUCUCAAUGGUCUAUCCGAACUACCUGGAAAGGUAGGCAAUACAGUGUAAAAGCCACGUAGGUUAAAGACCGGAGAGAUGAGCAGUAUCCAGAGUACCACGAGGCACGAGGAAUCUUGUGGGAAGCCGGGGGGACCACCCUCCAACCCUAAACACUGAAUGGCGACCGAUAGCGCAUAGUACCGUGAGGGAAAGGUGAAAAGAACCCCGGGAGGGGAGUGAAAGAGAACCUGAAACCGUAUGUCUACAAGCAGUCGGAGCGAAAGCGACGGCGUGCCUAUUGAAGAAUGAACCAACGAGUUACGUGCACUAGCGAGGUUAAGUGGAAGACACGGAGCCGAAGCGAAAGCGAGUCUUAAGAGGGCGGAUAGUUAGUGUACGUAGACCCGAAACCGCAGUGAUCUACCCAUGUCCAGGUUGAAGCGCAGGUAAAAUUGCGUGGAGGACCGAACCUGUGAGCGUUGAAAAGCUUUAGGAUGAGAUGUGGGUAGAGGUGAAAUUCCAAUCGAACGCGGAGAUAGCUGGUUCUCCCCGAAAUAGCUUUAGGGCUAGCCUCAAGUAGUAAGUAUAGGCGGUAGAGCACUGAUCGGGCUAGGGGCCAUAAAGGUUACCGAACCCUGUCAAACUCCGAAUGGUUAUACUGUAGAGCUUGGGAGUCAGACUACGAGUGAUAAGAUCCGUGGUCAAAAGGGAAACAGCCCAGACCACCAGCUAAGGUCCCCAAUGUCGUACUAAGUGGAAAAGGAUGUGGGGUCUCUAAAACAACCAGGAUGUUGGCUUAGAAGCAGCCACCAUUUAAAGAGUGCGUAAUAGCUCACUGGUCGAGAGACCCUGCGCCGAAGAUUACCGGGGCUAAAGUACGAAACCGAAGCUGUGGCUACGACAUAUGUCGUGGGGUAGGGGAGCGUUCUGUGAGGGCUGAAGUCGUUCUGUAAGGAACGGUGGACUUCACAGAAGUGAGAAUGUUGGUAUGAGUAGCGAAAAGAAUGGUGAGAAUCCAUUCCACCGAAAGCAUAAGGAUUCCUGGGCAACGAUCGUCGUCCCAGGGUAAGUCGGGACCUAAUCCGAGGCAUGGAGCGUAGGAGAUGGACAACUGGCAGAUAUUCCAGUACCGGUAAUGAUUGUUUGAGCGAUGGAGUGACACAGGAGGGCAGGCAGGCAGGAGAUUGGUUGUUCCUGUACAAGCGUGUAGGAUGGGACGCAGGCAAAUCCGCGUCCUGUGAGUCUGAGGCGUGAUGUGGAGGUUCCGGAAACGGAACUGAAGCUGCUGACCCCACACUGUCGAGAAAAGCUUCUAGUUAGAGAAUUACCGCCCGUACCGUAAACCGACACAGGUAUGCGGGGAGAGAAUCCUAAGGUGCGCGGGAGAACCCUCGUUAAGGAACUCGGCAAAAUGUACCCGUAACUUCGGGAUAAGGGUAGCCGCUGUUGUGAAGUCUGAACAGACGGAGCAUGAGGCGGUCGCAGAGAAGAGGCCCAAGCGACUGUUUACCACAAACACAGGUGCCUGCUAAAGAGAAAUCUGACGUAUAGGUGCUGACACCUGCCCAGUGCCGGAAGGUUAAGGAAGGAUGUCCGGAGCAAUCCAAAGCAUUCGACCGAAGCCCCGGUGAACGGCGGCCGUAACUAUAACGGUCCUAAGGUAGCGAAAUUCCUUGUCGGGU
Molecule: ribosomal RNA, 1957 nt
Filed under: human gut metagenome
Description: bacterial LSU rRNA
Rfam family: Bacterial large subunit ribosomal RNA
Source: RNAcentral